Mauremys mutica (yellowpond turtle) is the source of this 463-nucleotide long non-coding RNA. RefSeq lists it as uncharacterized. The record is from RefSeq and is a predicted model, not a curated record. The transcript has 3 exons. NCBI's taxonomy places the organism in Eukaryota, Metazoa, Chordata, Testudines, Geoemydidae.
UGAGACCUUUUUAAACCCUCCCCUGUUGGGAGAAGAGGGGGAAGAGAGAAGGAGUCCUGCUGCCAGUAGGUUAGGAGCAGCAAGACAGUGAGCCUCACUAGGACGGGAGGCUGCAUUCCCUCCCAUAAGGGAGAAAAACAAGCAUAAAAGACUGGUGGAAAGAAGGACCGGACUUCCCCUGUUUACCCAAGCCUGUCUCACCGAGGCUAAAAGCAGCUGAGGCUGAUCUGGCCCUGAAGGCAGUAACCGCUGAAGACUUCAUACGAUGAAAAUGCAAUACCAUAGCAUACUCAGUUAGAGCCCAAGGCUGCAUUCCUUGCAUGAUCCAUACUCCCACUGAAGGCUUUGAACUUCACAAAACGGCAGAGAAAUGAUCUGCACGGUGCGUUUGGAAAUCAGAUGUCAUGUUGUCCAAAGAGAGUGAGUUGCAAUAAUUUGAGAUUUCAUGUUUGACGAGGGAAAG